GGGGCGGUAGCUCAGUUUGGGAGAGCGCAACGUUCGCAAUGUUGAGGUCGAGGGUUCGAUCCCCUUUCGCUCCA
RNAcentral lists this transfer RNA (74 nucleotides) under Planctomycetaceae bacterium. RNAcentral describes it as "tRNA-Ala". It matches the Rfam family "tRNA". Rfam says of the family: Transfer RNA (tRNA) molecules are approximately 80 nucleotides in length. Their secondary structure includes four short double-helical elements and three loops (D, anti-codon, and T loops). The record is from RNAcentral. Lineage: Bacteria; Pseudomonadati; Planctomycetota; Planctomycetia; Planctomycetales; Planctomycetaceae.